CGGCAGCACGGGUGCUUGCACCUGGUGGCGAGUGGCGAACGGGUGAGUAAUGCGUCGGAACGUACCGAGUAGUGGGGGAUAACGCAGCGAAAGUUGUGCUAAUACCGCAUAUUCUGUGAGCAGGAAAGCGGGGGAUCUUCGGACCUCGCGCUAUUCGAGCGGCCGACGUCUGAUUAGCUAGUUGGUGGGGUAAUGGCUCACCAAGGCGACGAUCAGUAGCGGGUCUGAGAGGAUGAUCCGCCACACUGGGACUGAGACACGGCCCAGACUCCUACGGGAGGCAGCAGUGGGGAAUUUUGGACAAUGGGCGAAAGCCUGAUCCAGCCAUGCCGCGUGUCUGAAGAAGGCCUUCGGGUUGUAAAGGACUUUUGUCAGGGAGGAAAUCCCCAGGGCUAAUACCCUUGGGGGAUGACAGUACCUGAAGAAUAAGCACCGGCUAACUAC
RNAcentral lists this ribosomal RNA (444 nucleotides) under uncultured Laribacter sp. Its description in RNAcentral is "bacterial SSU rRNA". It matches the Rfam family "Bacterial small subunit ribosomal RNA", at positions 67 to 504 of the family's 1533-position model. The record is from RNAcentral. Lineage: Bacteria; Pseudomonadati; Pseudomonadota; Betaproteobacteria; Neisseriales; Aquaspirillaceae.